UAAGACGAACCUGACAAACGUUAUUCGGAAUUACUGGGCUUAAAGGGUGCGUAGGCGGCGUGGCAAGUUGGGUGUGAAAUCCCUCGGCUCAACCGAGGAACUGCGCUCAAUACUGCCAUGCUCGAGGGAGACAGAGGUGAGCGGAACUUAGGGUGGAGCGGUGAAAUGCGUUGAUAUCCUAAGGAACACCGGUAGCGAAAGCGGCUCACUGGGUCUUUUCUGACGCUGAGGCACGAAAGCUAGGGUAGCGAACGGG
This 256-nucleotide ribosomal RNA is filed under the name uncultured bacterium. RNAcentral describes it as "partial 16S ribosomal RNA". It matches the Rfam family "Bacterial small subunit ribosomal RNA", at positions 521 to 776 of the family's 1533-position model. The record is from RNAcentral.